GGUCGGUUAGCUCAGUUGGUUAGAGCGUGGUGCUAAUAAGAUCCUUCAAUAGAGGCUCAAUAUUGGUACGCCAAGGUCGCGGGUUCGACCCCCGUACUGACCA
Molecule: transfer RNA, 103 nt
Filed under: Aureobasidium melanogenum CBS 110374
Lineage: Eukaryota; Fungi; Ascomycota; Dothideomycetes; Dothideales; Saccotheciaceae
Rfam family: tRNA
About the family: Transfer RNA (tRNA) molecules are approximately 80 nucleotides in length. Their secondary structure includes four short double-helical elements and three loops (D, anti-codon, and T loops).
Source: Rfam by way of RNAcentral